UGGGGAAUAUUGGACAAUGGGCGAAAGCCUGAUCCAGCAAUGCCGCGUGAGUGAUGAAGGCCUUAGGGUUGUAAAGCUCUUUUACCAGGGAUGAUAAUGACAGUACCUGGAGAAUAAGCUCCGGCUAACUCCGUGCCAGCAGCCGCGGUAAUACGGAGGGAGCUAGCGUUGUUCGGAAUUACUGGGCGUAAAGCGCGCGUAGGCGGUUUAUCAAGUCAGGGGUGAAAUCCCGGGGCUCAACCCCGGAACUGCCCUUGAAACUGGUUCACUAGAAUCCUGGAGAGGCGAGUGGAAUUCCGAGUGUAGAGGUGAAAUUCGUAGAUAUUCGGAAGAACACCAGUGGCGAAGGCGACUCGCUGGACAGCUAUUGACGCUGAGGUGCGAAAGCGUGGGGAGCAAACA
This 402-nucleotide ribosomal RNA is filed under the name uncultured bacterium. Its description in RNAcentral is "bacterial SSU rRNA". It matches the Rfam family "Bacterial small subunit ribosomal RNA", at positions 355 to 774 of the family's 1533-position model. The record is from RNAcentral.